UGAGUACGAGCUGCUACGGCAGCGAAGUGGGUGAUGUCAUGCUUCCAAGAAAAGCCCUAUACCCGUUAAGGCAUGAUGGCCUGUACCCGAAACCGACACAGGUGGGGUGGUAGAGAAUACCGAGGGGCGCGAGGUAACUCUCUCUAAGGAACUCGGCAAAAUGGCCCCGUAACUUCGGGAGAAGGGGUGCCACCGCAAGGUGGUCGCAGUGAAGAGGCCCAGGCGACUGUUUACCAAAAACACAGGUCUCCGCUAAGUCGCAAGACGAUGUAUGGGGGCUGACGCCUGCCCAGUGCCGGAAGGUUAAGGAAGCUGGUCAGCGUAAGCGAAGCUAGCGACUGAAGCCCCGGUGAACGGCGGCCGUAACUGUAACGGUCCUAAGGUAGCGAAAUUCCUUGUCGGGUAAGUUCCGACCCGCACGAAAGGCGUAACGAUCUGGGCGCUGUCUCGGAGAGAGGCUCGGCGAAAUAGAAUUGUCUGUGAAGAUGCGGACUACGUGCACCCGGACAGAAAGACCCUAUGAAGCUUUACUGUAGCUUGGUAUUGUGCUCGGGCUCGGAAUGCGCAGGAUAGGUGGGAGGCUAUGAACCAUUGCUUGCGGGUGAUGGUGAGCCACUGGUGAGAUACCACUCUUUCCGAGCUAGAGUUCUAACAGCCACCCGUUAUCCGGGGGCUGGACAGUAUCAGGUGGGCAGUUUGACUGGGGCGGUCGCCUCCUAAAAGGUAACGGAGGCGCGCAAAGGUUUGCUCAGGCUGGUUGGAAAUCAGCCGACGAGUGUAAAAGCAGAAGCAAGCUUGACUGUGAGACCUACAAGUCGAACAGGGAGGAAACUCGGCUUUAGUGAUCCGACGGUUCUGCGUGGAAGGGCCGUCGCUCAACGGAUAAAAGUUACUCUAGGAUAACAGGCUGAUCUCCCCCAAGAGUUCACAUCGACGGGGAGGUUUGGCACCUCGAUGUCGGCUCAUCGCAACCUGGGGCUGAAGUCGGUCCCAAGGGUUGGGCUGUUCGCCCAUUAAAGCGGUACGCGAGCUGGGUUCAGAACGUCGUGAGACAGUUCGGUCCAUAUCCGGUGCAUGCGCAGGAAUAUUGAGAGGAUUUCUCCCUAGUACGAGAGGACCGGGAGGAACGCACCUCUGGUGUACCAGUUAUCGUGCCAACGGUAAACGCUGGGUAGCCAUGUGCGGAGAGGAUAACCGCUGAAAGCAUCUAAGUGGGAAGCCCACCUCAAGAUGAGUAUUCCCAUGGGGUAACCCAGUAAGGUCACGGGAAGAACACCCGUUGAUAGGCUCUACGUGGAAGCGCAGUAAUGUGUGAAGCGGAGGAGUACUAAUAGACCGAGGGCUUGACC
This 1349-nucleotide ribosomal RNA is filed under the name metagenome. RNAcentral describes it as "bacterial LSU rRNA". It matches the Rfam family "Bacterial large subunit ribosomal RNA", at positions 1564 to 2925 of the family's 2925-position model. The record is from RNAcentral.